Molecule: non-coding RNA, 23 nt
Filed under: Arabidopsis thaliana (thale cress)
Lineage: Eukaryota; Viridiplantae; Streptophyta; Magnoliopsida; Brassicales; Brassicaceae
Source: RNAcentral
AUAUACUAGAUAAGGCCCGCCUA